RNAcentral lists this ribosomal RNA (253 nucleotides) under uncultured bacterium. Its description in RNAcentral is "partial 16S ribosomal RNA". It matches the Rfam family "Bacterial small subunit ribosomal RNA", at positions 524 to 776 of the family's 1533-position model. The record is from RNAcentral.
UCCGUAGGUGGCAAUCGUUGUCCGGAAUUAUUGGGCGUAAAGCGCGCGCAGGCGGUUCCUUAAGUCUGAUGUGAAAGCCCACGGCUCAACCGUGGAGGGUCAUUGGAAACUGGGGGACUUGAGUGCAGAAGAGGAGAGCGGAAUUCCACGUGUAGCGGUGAAAUGCGUAGAGAUGUGAAGGAACACCAGUGGCGAAGGCGGCUCUCUGGUCUGUAACUGACGCUGAGGCGCGAAAGCGUGGGGAGAAAACAGG